RNAcentral lists this ribosomal RNA (467 nucleotides) under uncultured bacterium. RNAcentral describes it as "partial 16S ribosomal RNA". It matches the Rfam family "Bacterial small subunit ribosomal RNA", at positions 28 to 506 of the family's 1533-position model. The record is from RNAcentral.
GACGAACGCUGGCGGCGUGCUUAACACAUGCAAGUCGAACGGAAAGGCCCUGCUUUUGUGGGGUGCUCGAGUGGCGAACGGGUGAGUAACACGUGAGUAACCUGCCCUUGACUUUGGGAUAACUUCAGGAAACUGGGGCUAAUACCGGAUAGGAGCUCCUGCUGCAUGGUGGGGGUUGGAAAGUUUCGGCGGUUGGGGAUGGACUCGCGGCUUAUCAGCUUGUUGGUGGGGUAGUGGCUUACCAAGGCUUUGACGGGUAGCCGGCCUGAGAGGGUGACCGGCAAAAUUGGGACUGAGAUACGGCCCAGACUCCUACGGGAGGCAGCAGUGGGGAAUAUUGAACAAUGGGCGGAAGCCUGAUGCAGCAACGCCGCGUGCGGGAUGACGGCCUUCGGGUUGUAAACCGCUUUCGCCUGUGACGAAGCGUGAGUGACGGUAAUGGGUAAAGAAGCACCGGCUAACUACGU